Molecule: long non-coding RNA, 813 nt
Filed under: Phascolarctos cinereus (koala)
Lineage: Eukaryota; Metazoa; Chordata; Mammalia; Diprotodontia; Phascolarctidae
Description: lncRNA (ENSPCIG00000031555.1)
Source: RNAcentral
GGACAGUGAAAUAACCACCAUCGUGCAGAGCUGAGGGUGAAUUGAAAGUGUAGUUAGGGAGAGUAUAUGAAAUUACUGCUUUAAGGAGUUGUGUUUAAAGUGGAGGAGGGCUAUCAUGGUUUUUAGACGGUUUCAAGAAAACUAGAUUUGCAAUCUCAGUGGAAGUUUUCAAGUAGAUGGCUAUCUGUUGGUGAUGUAAAAGAGAUUCGUGUUCCGGAAUGGGUUAGGAAAGAAGGCCUCUGGUGUCCUUUCUAACUGAAAUUUUGUGAACUUCUAUACUGUGGUGUGAGGGCAAGCAUUCCUGUGGAGGGAGGGGUCUUUAGGUGCAGCUGGCCUCCUUUUCUUCCUUCUAUUAGAAGACAGACAAACUAUCCCAGGAAAUCAGCAAUGUCAACAACAACAACAAGGAACAGCUUCUGAUGGAGGAGAGGCUAACUCCGGAGAAGCUUGACAGUAUCCAGAAGCAGCUGGACAGGUUGACCCAGCCUGAGGCCAAGACUGAAGCCACAGCUGUCACCAGUGUGGAUGCCUUCCUGUGCAGACAUUUGACAUUUUAGCUGAAGAGGGUGCUAGAAUGUGUUGGCCACAGCAGCAUCAGAGGAUCCAAGGAGACAGGCACAGAAGAGGCUGCUGAAUGGGAAAGUGCAUUGUUACCACGGUGGGUGAGGGAGAGGUAGACACAAAAAUAUUCAUCUUCUAUCUGUGUAAGAGCUCAGAUAAACAAAAAGAAUCAAAGACACUUAGGAGACAGUGACCUAAGGAAGCAGAGAAGAAGAUCUGGAAGAUAGAUGCUGGCAGCAAGGAUUAAUAAAA